This 468-nucleotide ribosomal RNA is filed under the name uncultured bacterium. Its description in RNAcentral is "partial 16S ribosomal RNA". It matches the Rfam family "Bacterial small subunit ribosomal RNA", at positions 28 to 507 of the family's 1533-position model. The record is from RNAcentral.
GACGAACGCUGGCGGCGUGCUUAACACAUGCAAGUCGAACGGAAAGGCCCUGCUCUUGUGGGGUGCUCGAGUGGCGAACGGGUGAGUAACACGUGAGUAACCUGCCCUUGACUUUGGGAUAACUUCAGGAAACUGGGGCUAAUACCGGAUAUGAGCUCCUGCUGCAUGGUGGGGGUUGGAAAGUUUCGGCGGUUGGGGAUGGACUCGGGGCUUACCAGCUUGUUGGUGGGGUAGUAGCUUACCAAGGGUUUGACGGGUAGCCGUCCUGAGAGCGUGACCAGCGCCAUUGGUCCUGCGGUGCGUCCCAGACUUCGACGGAAGGCAACAGUGGCCACAUCUACAGACUGGGCGGGAGCGUGAGGUGCCAAUGCCGAGUGCGGGAUGAAGGCCUUCGGGGUUUACACCACUUUGGCCUGUGACGAAGCGUGAUUGACGUUAAUGGGUAAAGAAGCACCGGCUAACUACGUG